CCCCUGAUGGUCUAGUUGGAUAUGGCGCUCGGCUGUAAUAUUCUUUAAAGAAAAUAUCUUUGUAACCGAGAGGUCCCCGGAUCGAUCCCGGGUCGGGGGA
RNAcentral lists this transfer RNA (100 nucleotides) under Aspergillus sergii. RNAcentral's name for it is "tRNA-Tyr". Lineage: Eukaryota; Fungi; Ascomycota; Eurotiomycetes; Eurotiales; Aspergillaceae. The record is from RNAcentral.